CGAGAACGAGAACGAGGAGGAUAAUGAGGGGAAUGAGAACGAGGAGGAUAAUGAGACUGAGAGUGAGUCCGGGAAUGAGAACGAGGAGGAUAAUGAGAAUGAGAGUGAGUCCGGGAAUGAGAACGAGGAGGCUGGUCCAGAGGCUGAUCCGGCUGGUCCGGAAACUGAUCAAGAGGCUGAUUCAGAUGAUGUCUAAUAGUAGAGCUGGAGAAACAGCUUUUCAUUCAAGGUAACAAAAGAAGCAAAAGAGAAUGCAUCUAUAGAUUCAUUUGGCAAAAACAUGGUGAAGGUGCUUCCCCUGUAGACAUGGAUGAACAUGAUUUUACCGUUGUGGCUGAAUUGAUGUGUGUAAUGAUGGAAACGGGUGCCUGAUCCAUAUGAACAAAAGAUCUCGGGUGAUUUUGAUCGAAGACUCUUUCCUUUGAGCAAACUUUAAUUUGUGGCCUCUCUCUGGGUCUGUACAACAUUUCUGCAUAUGAUUUUCACAUUCAUCUUGUUUACACAUACGACACACACCAGGUGGUGUUUGAAGAAGUGACUCUUUGGAAAGUUCAAACUUUAUUUGGAUUGUUGAGUAGUAGACAAAAAAUUAAUGUACUAGCAGUAUUAAAGAAUUUAAGGUGUGAUAGACUCAUUGGUCUUUUAUGAAUUGAGUUUAAGCUAAUCUUCAUGCUUUAAUCUAUCAUUUGAGAGUGGAGAAUUAGAUUAAUAAUCAUAUUUCGACUUUGAUUCCUAAGUUUGAGAUCGGAAGGAGAAGAUUUAGGUUAACUUUGUUGAGUGUUGAACUUGCUAGAAAUAGGGGUUUAGAUUAAGGUAUUGGGUUGCUUUGUUGUUGAACACGAUUGCAAUCGAAAGAAAAUUUCGUGAGAAAACACUGAUCGCUAGGAGAUUAUUGUUGAUUGAUGAUGACCUAGCCUACCUUUGAUUGAUUUGCAUGUGUUGAGAUGACAAUGGAUCGUUGAAUGAGAGUUGGGUUUUGAAUUUUCCAGUUCCCAAUUAUCCC
RNA transcript from Solanum stenotomum, 1003 nucleotides. RefSeq lists it as uncharacterized. The record is from RefSeq and is a predicted model, not a curated record. The transcript has 4 exons. Lineage: Eukaryota; Viridiplantae; Streptophyta; Magnoliopsida; Solanales; Solanaceae.